UGGGAUGUAGCUCAGUGGUAGAGCAUUUGUCUAGAGUGCAUGAGGCCCUGAGAUGGAUCCUCAGCCCCUUAA
Molecule: transfer RNA, 72 nt
Filed under: Ictidomys tridecemlineatus (thirteen-lined ground squirrel)
Lineage: Eukaryota; Metazoa; Chordata; Mammalia; Rodentia; Sciuridae
Description: Spermophilus tridecemlineatus (thirteen-lined ground squirrel) tRNA
Rfam family: tRNA
About the family: Transfer RNA (tRNA) molecules are approximately 80 nucleotides in length.
Source: Rfam by way of RNAcentral